AUACGUAGGGUGCAAGCGUUAAUCGGAAUUACUGGGCGUAAAGCGUGCGCAGGCGGUUUUGUAAGACAGUGGUGAAAUCCCCGGGCUCAACCUGGGAACUGCCAUUGUGACUGCAAGGCUGGAGUGCGGCAGAGGGGGAUGGAAUUCCGCGUGUAGCAGUGAAAUGCGUAGAUAUGCGGAGGAACACCGAUGGCGAAGGCAAUCCCCUGGGCCUGCAAGGACGCUCAUGCACGAAAGCGUGGGGAGCAAACAGGAUUAGAUACCCUGGUAGUCCACGCCCUAAACGAUGUCAACUGGUUGUUGGGGAUUUAUUUUCUCAGUAACGAAGCUAACGCGUGAAGUUGACCGCCUGGGGAGUACGGCCGCAAGGUUAAAACUCAAAUGAAUUGACGGGG
This 395-nucleotide ribosomal RNA is filed under the name uncultured bacterium. RNAcentral's name for it is "partial 16S ribosomal RNA". It matches the Rfam family "Bacterial small subunit ribosomal RNA", at positions 523 to 918 of the family's 1533-position model. The record is from RNAcentral.